CAGUAGCCGCGGGAAUACAGAGGGUGCGAGCGUUAAUCGGAUUUACUGGGCGUAAAGCGUGCGUAGGCGGCUUCUUAAGUCGGAUGUGAAAUCCCUGAGCUUAACUUAGGAAUUGCAUUCGAUACUGGGAAGCUAGAGUAUGGGAGAGGAUGGUAGAAUUCCAUGUGUAGCGGUGAAAUGCGUAGAGAUCUGGAGGAAUACCGAUGGCGAAGGCAGCCAUCUGGCCUAAUACUGACGCUGAGGUACGAAAGCAUGUGGAGCAAACAGGAUUAGAUACCCGCGUAGUCCCUGUCUCUUAUAA
RNAcentral lists this ribosomal RNA (301 nucleotides) under uncultured bacterium. Its description in RNAcentral is "partial 16S ribosomal RNA". It matches the Rfam family "Bacterial small subunit ribosomal RNA", at positions 509 to 809 of the family's 1533-position model. The record is from RNAcentral.